CUCGGUAAGUGCCAUUCUGUACGGGGUAAUAGAAAUGGGAGUCGUACCUGGCACCAAUUCAAUACCGAACUCUAUCUCCCUUUCAGCAGGUAAUCCAGGUAAUUCCUCCGGAAACUCAUCUGGUUACUCACAAACUAUCGGCACAGACUCAAUCUUCAUUUCAGUUUCCUUAGUGUUCAGUACAAAUGCAAGGUAGGUUUCAUAUCCUUUCCUCAUAUAUCUUUGGGCAACCAUUGCCGUUAUUACAACCGGUG
RNAcentral lists this long non-coding RNA (254 nucleotides) under Gossypium barbadense (sea-island cotton). RNAcentral describes it as "long non-coding RNA (GBAR_LNC012528)". The record is from RNAcentral. Lineage: Eukaryota; Viridiplantae; Streptophyta; Magnoliopsida; Malvales; Malvaceae.